This is a long non-coding RNA of Felis catus (domestic cat), 7627 nucleotides long. RefSeq lists it as uncharacterized. NCBI's taxonomy places the organism in Eukaryota, Metazoa, Chordata, Mammalia, Carnivora, Felidae. The transcript is spliced from 3 exons. The record is from RefSeq and is a predicted model, not a curated record.
GACGGAGCCCUGGCCCCCUGGCGCAUCUGGGGAGGGCAGGCAUUCCAUGGCCAGCACCCCAAAGGGUCCCCUCCCCGCGGACCGGGCCACUGGGACAAACGAUCAUAAAUCAGGGCCGUCCUGAUGAAACCAGGCAUGGACGGCGAGUGCGUUAAUUGUGCACCGAUACACUCAUUUUUGCGAUGCCUUUCAAACACCAGUUGUGAUGGGAAACAGCUGUUAGAUCCGGGGGAAAAAAAUAAAAGGCAAGGAAGAAAAGAGGAGAGCUCGGAAUUGGAAAUCAUAAUAAUGUCUGUCUUCGCCCUCCCCCUCCACAAAGGCUGGGAGCCCUCCCAUUCUCCCCGAGACAAUCGCGCGCCGCGGGGGGCCGGAGGAGGCGCGCACAGCAAGUUCAAGUGCAGGGGGAGAGGACGGGGCAGAAGAAAGGAUCCCUUCUCUUCAUGUGGGGGAAAUGGCAUGUUUAAAAUAGGUUAGGGAUUCAGGUUAAAAGCGGGAGAAGCCACACAGAAUAGGAGCAGAGACGCAGUAAAUGGUGCAGACGAGACAGCGCGUACGGGGAGCGGGGCUUGUCGGGGAUCUUCAUUUGAGGAGGCGAUAACCUGGAUAAUUAGAGUGUUUUGAACGUUUCAGAUGCGACCGCGGAGGAAUCGCUGGCAUUUGCCCCUGAGUCUGGCCGACUUCUGUGCCGGCCCCGGGGCUGGUCGGGGUGGGUCUGGCAGCGUCGGGGAGGACGGGCCCCCCCUUCCUCUUGUUCCCUGUCCUUGUCCUCCUUCCCCAGGACCAGGCCGUAUGGUCCGCACCUCACGAGAGGGGAGAGCUCAGAGCCAGCCAGAGAAGUCCUCCUCUCCCGGCGUUUCCUGGACGCCGGCUUGUUCUCCAGAAAUGUUUAUUUACAUCAUCUAACAAGACGGUUUUUCAAUCUAUAAUGCCUGUGUCAUUACGUAAUGGGUCUCGCAUGGUGUUGCCCAUCGUGGAGAAACAGACAGUCCUCUGCCAACCCGUGCCUGCACACAGGCGGCUUCCCAGGCUCCCGGGGCAGGGGGGGGGGGUGCUGUGCCCGAGACCCCCACCUCCACAGAGCCUCUUAGGUUGUCUCUGCUUCUCGGGGUCCUUGAACUCCGUGGGCCUCAGGAUGGCUGGAGACCCUUUGUUCAGCCUGGGGCAAGUAGUUUUAAGAGUUCCCCUGCCCCCUUUUUUAUUCCAGCAGGAUGCCUGCGACUUGAUCCCUUCCUUUCAGAUCUAACACGAGGAACACCAACCAGAGUGUUAAGGGUGUACAGCCCCUACGGAAUGCCCAGAAUUGCAGAAACAGGGCUGGUUUUCUGUCCUCCUGACCAGGGAUGCGCCCCGAUGGUGACCCGUGAAGACAUCGUUCCCCAUCAGUUUCCCUGGCUCUCAAAUUGCCCCUUCGUGCCUGAAAUACAACGACUCAUAAAAUUGAGAAAAAAUCGUGGGAUCUGAGCAGAACUGGUGGGAAGGAGGUGGGCGCUCCGACUUCUACAAGCUGAGGUCAAAGUUGAGGGCGUGCUUCGGAUGGAUGUCCUCAUGGUCAGAAACUGGGAUGGGCCCCAGGGUAGCCCAGAAGGUACUCUGCUGAGGGGCGUCGGCAUGAACUUCGCAUUAUGCACAUUGCUGCCCCUGUCAUUAGCGGGAUGUUAGAAACAUGACUUAGGGGCCGUGCAGACGCAUUUGCGACACCCUCAAGGGGGCACAGGCUGUGGAGAGCACCUUGGGCACAGAACCCCCUCCCCGGGUGGGUCAUGGGGAACCGCCUUCAGCAUCCCCCCUGCCCCGUGCUUCCUCUGGGUCUGUGACUCUUUUAUUCUGCUGUCGGGGAAAGAACCCACGUGGUCACUUUGCCAAACACUCAGAUGCUUGUUGGUGACCGAGGGUUCGAUUUCCUUACAUGCGGGCUAGACCACAACUCGAGUAAACAUCAGGAAAGAAGGUGGGGGCCUUAAGAAUAUUAAUUCUUAUGGAGUUAUUUCAAGUACCGGACUUCCAGUUUCCACCCCCUUCUUUCGAAGCGAAACAGCAGUGGGGUUCUGUGUUGUGUUGUAAACAGGCGAGCAAGUGUCCCUCUUGAACCUGGACGCCGGUCGGGAGCGGCUUCUGCGGGCCCACGUUUAUGCUUGUGAUGGGUGCCGGGCAGGCAGCUGCACUGAGAAUUUCUGCUCCGGCCCCUCUGUGACCUCAACCUGCCCGGCCAGCCGGCCACCUCAGCUGGAGCGGUGGGGGUUGGUUUGCUCUUACAGGGAUCCCCUUGGGAAGAAGCAGCAGCCUCAGCACGAGAGGUUUCCACACUCAGGGGGUGGGUGUGUGCGUGCAAAUAUUUUUUUUUUUCAACAGGCGGCCGCUUGGCAGACCGGACCACGAAAAUAGCCCUGUUAGCAAGCACUGUGCCUGCAGAUAGAACUUCCUAUUCAAAUCAGGGCAAGAGGCAGAGGGAUCAUGAGGCGAAAUGAGCCGUGUGUGUGUGUGUGUGUGUGUGUGUGUGUGUGUGUGUGUGUGUUUCCUGAAUAAAUGAAUCAGAGAUGCGGCGGGGCUGGCCCUCCUCUGUCCCGGGUCUCUGGAUCAUUUCAGAGGGUUAAUGCAGCAGAGGCGGAGGGGAGGCCGGAGAGGGUUCCCAGCUGAUCUGCCGGGCGCUGCGUGCGUUAACCCCCUCCUGCCCGAGCCGCCAGCCGUGGCCGGACGCUGGUGGGCACCAGGAAGGGGUGGGAUUCCCUCACGAGACGCAUAAUCGUAUACAUUCUGCUCCGCGGUGGCCGCCAAGCUGUAUCACUGCCCGUGUGACACGGCCAUCUUCUCCCGGGAGCCGCUGGAGACCUCAGGGUGCGGAGCCAGCUCUCUGGGAUGAUCGCAGAUGAAUUCUCCGCAGAGGGAGGCAGAUGACCCGUGGAGAUCCGUCACGCGUGGCUCUUUGAAGUUUUCUCCUGCUUUCUCGCACGGCGCCGGGAAGCCAAGUUUUGCCACGUCCUCUUGCGCGCACACGCGAUGUUCUGCGGUGGUGGUCAGAUGCUUGCGACGUGGAAAGAGAUGGACUUUUCCCGACAGAGUCCCACUGGAGAUUCCCUAGGAAUUUGCACUUCUUACCUGUCUGUCCGUUUAUCUGACUGGAUAUAAACUAAAAAGCCCACUCCUUGAAGCUCCUUUCUUGCUGUGCCUUCCAUCAGGCACAUUAACCCCUAACUAACAGUUGCCACAAUUAUAGAGUGAAACAACACAGUGUACAAAGGUGUGUGUUUACUACUUCCCAGGGCAAAGACGAAAGUUUUAUGGUGCUAAUUUCACUUUCCCUAUUCUUUUUUUUUUUUUCUUCUCUAACUUGAAGGAUCACUGGCCUCUCUAGUAGCUAGGUUUUGCUGACCGUAUGUUUUGAAACUCUCAUUCCAAAAGCACUUUCUCCCUAGCUUCACAAAUGUACCAACCAUUUGCUGCAAGCCAGAAGGCUGCACACCUGAUGACACCGAGCCCCCAUCUCCUGCGGGUCACAGCAGCCUGUGUGUUUGGGCAGAGCCUGAUUUCUAGAAUAGAUUCCAUCUCUGGUGAUAGGGAAGCCACGCAGAAUUGCUAAGUUUGUGCGAUAUUAGGAGGCAGAAUAACGAACAGCUUCAUCGUUGUCUCAAACCUGCCGGUCUAUGUGCGUGUGUGAGGACGGCCUCACUCAGACCCAUCACCAGCCCCGGACGACACCCGAGAGCCCGGACCCUAUGCGGCCUCAAAGUAUCUCAUGUUAUUUUUAUCAAAUGUGCAGAUAACUAAGAGGCUACUCUGGCAAAAUAUCCCAGUGUCCAUUUGUGUUUCAAAUGUGAGAAGGGCUCAGGCAGGUGGAGAAACACGAAAUAAGCAGGUGGGACAAUUCAAGAAAGAUCUCAUUUGAUUUCCCCCAAAGCUCAAACUAGAGAAACCGCUCUGCAUCUGUGCCAACCUCCCGGAAGCUGGUAAAUCCACACAGUCCCUGAGACAUCUUUCCACGCAGAGACAAAUCUGCUCCAUCCAUCCAUCCAUCCUUCCUUUCUUUCUUUCUUUCUUUCUUUCUUUCUUUCUUUCUUUCUUUCUGGAAUUUUUAAAGCAAGUGGCCAUUUUCUUAUCCACGUUUCAAAUGUCCAACCUCUUCAUAAAUAAAAGGAAAUAGAAUUCUGAAGGUAGAGAGGGAAACUGCAAUGGAAGUGUCCAAUUUCAUGCGGUGGCUUCUUGGGCAGGAACAAGGGUAAUUUGACCACGGCUUCAAUUUCUGAGGCAUUUUUAGCACAUGCAUUUGGUACACAUACAUGGCAGCUAGACUGACAAGACAGACCCCUGAUUGCUCCUAAGGGUCAAUAAAACACACACCAUGAAGGAUUUACACAACAGACAGUAAUGGCUUCUUUGGAACUGUUAUGGUCUAUUGGGUCAAUAAUAAUCCACUUUUUAAAGAGUGCCAAAAUAUGAAUUUACACAGCAGACUGUAAUGGCUCCUGAUCUAUCAGGUAAAUUAUAUGAAUUCUCGGAAUUUAUAUACGUGCCAUAGCGCACGGAUACCUAUCACAAUGUGCUGUUGUGUGAAGCAUCCCAUGUAGACUGCUGCACAGGUUCUUUCCCAAUUGCUGAUAAAAAUGAUGUAUUGCCACUCAGGAAAUGGGAAUAUUUGUUGACGUUCGGAAGUUUAAUGCCACAAUUUAUAUUUCACAUUUAAUUCACUGUAUUUUGAUAAAGAUUCUAUAUUACUUACAUCAACAUAAACUCUGGUUCCCCCCAAAUGGAGUUAUUUGCAAUUCAAACUAUGUUUAAAAUACCCUGAUCACACGAUUUCGGGGUGGGCUGCCACAUAAUAUUUAAUUUGCGACACGUUUACCGGCGAGGGUCUAUUCUCCGUAUUCGCAGUUUCUAUUUUCUUCCGUGGCGUGAAAAUAGACAUUCUCAAGUACACCGUGCUGCAGCUUCACUUAGCAUAGAUGCUCGGAUCUUUCCAGCAGGUGGAGGCAGACCGCAAGAAGCCCUACAAGAAAGAGCCCAAAAUAUUUUUCCCCUCAGAGAGCCCUGACAUUUAGGGGAAAACAAAAUAUCUGCAAAAGAGGGAAAUUAAAUGAACGGUGUCCAACAGGAAUGGUGCUGUGACAUAGUUUCACCUAAUAAAGAAUCUGGAGCAAAGAUAGCUCAGAGCCCCUCCUUCCUAUAAACAUUCUUCUCUCCUGGCUUUUGUUCUGUUCCCGUUGGAAAUUUUUCCAGAAGAAAAGCCUAGUGAGUUAUUUAAUAAAUAAAAUCCUUUAAGGCAACCACGUUCAAAGAUAUCGCCUCAGAUUCCCUUCAAAUACACACAGCAAGAAGUGUGCCACCGGCAGCUGGGGGGACACGCGUGUAGAUGACAGACUGGUGACACGCACGCUUGUGCACCCGCGCUCAUGCACACGGGCUCACGAUGAGGAACUCCAGGCUCACUCUUACCUUGCUUCGCUCACUGCCGGUGUGGAUGUUCUAUUCUUUUGGUUAAAACAGUGAUCUCUCUGGCUCUUUUGCGUCUGUGUGUAUGUUCCUGCCUGUGCAUUAAAGCAGUAAAAAAGAAUUUAAAGCUCAGACUAGAAAUUCCCUGCCUGUCGACUGGGCUUUUCUUGAGGUAGAGGGAUUUCUUUCAAAGACCGCUUAACACGUGUCAUCCGUUAUGGACAAACGACAUGGCCGAAAAAUGUAUGUGCACUUGAUUAGAAUGGUCGACCUGGAAGGACCUGGAUGUUUCUGGGUCCAUAGGAAGAUAACAGAACACAGCAAGUUAUAGGUCUCACCUUCCUUGGCACAGAACUGAGAGCAGGUGACAACAUAGAGAUGCCUUGGUCUCCACCCCCCACUCUUUCCCGUGUCUGUUUCCUGCAAAUAUCUACCACCUGCAAUAUUGACUAGUUUAUCAGGAAGCAGGCAUCUCUAUCAGUCUAUCUUGAAUCGUCAUCCAACAGAAGAUUAAAAGCUGCCUGCCUCCUUGUUGUGAUUUUCGGUGUUCGUGUCACAAAGUUUUCAAUCAAAUUUCAGCCGUGUGCAUUUCGCUUACAGAACCCCGAGCACUUAUCUUCCCAAAGCAGGGGAUUUAGACCAUGUUUACCUUGCAUAGUUUCAAGAUAUCUCCCUGCAAACCUGUCCACAUUUAGGGUGUCAGAUGCUUCCCAAAUCUGGCGUUCUCUCUCUCUCUCUCUCUCUCUCUCUCUCUCUCUCUCUCUUUCUCACCCUCUCUCAUCCCUUCACAACGAGGCUUUUGGCUGCACAAUGACCAAUAAAAAGUAUGAAUAACAGACAAGUGCCAAUAUUCCAAGGAGUUAUUCUUGUGCAGCGACCUUGUGUUGUGAGUUUUCAAGACGAACCGCAACUGUGGAAGGCAUUGUUCUAAAUGGCCUGCUCACCAACAGCCUUCAGGAGGCCCCGGUCACCAUGGUUUUCCGCUCAUGCACCGAGUGGAACAGAAGGGGAAACGUCAGCUGUGAUCUUCUGGCCGCGCCAUCGCCCGUGAGGGAGCCGUGGUCUGGGAGGGAUCCUAAGACAUAAACGCUGGAACUGAGCACAAACAAAUCGACACCAAACCAAUAUCUAUCUGCCAGUGAACCUACUUGAUGCUUUGAGUUCCCAAUAAAUAGACUGGGAGGAUGGAUAAGCAGCAUCCAGAGACGCCUGCAGGGAAGUUUGUACACAGGGAAGCCAGUGUGUGCUGGGGAGACGUGAUUCCUGCUGUGCUCGGGCACAAUCGCGCGAUGGAGACCGUCUACACUCAGCCCGCCCCUACUGGUGUUUUUCAUUAAAUACUGACUAGUGAAACCUAGCCUGUGCAUGGGGUACAGGGUGGGUUUGCGUGUGGCUGGGGGCGUGUGCAGAGGAACCGAGAUCCCUUAACGAAACACCUUGUUCGAGAACGCACUGGGAACGUCCGCCGUGGGAUAUGCUACUUUUCAGCUCCCGACGUUGUCUUUCUGCACACGUGUGAUUCUCAUUCAAUGUUUUAUAGGCACGUGUGCAGGGGCACUCACUGCUGAAAAGCCAAAUGGCAUCCUCUGCCAACCCUUUGGAAUUUUAAAAACCUAAACGAUGGCUCACACAUGUGACAGUGGAUCCCAAGUAGAGGCCAAAGGCCUAACGCCAUUGCUCUGUGGGUGACUUGGAAACCAGGCCAAGGUUUUAUGUGUUGCCUGUGGCCUGCUGUUAGCCUACCACUGCUCUUACCCCUUGGAAAUUGGCUCUGUUAUCUCACCGGGGCUGGGGGCACGCCAAAGCGCUCACAACUCACUCAAAGCGCGUGGAUCAUGGGUUGGAGAUGAGGCUGAAACUUUUGCUCUCUCGUUGGUUCCUUCUGGUAAAACCAAACCUUAGGGUUCCAGCGGGAGGGAAACACACUCAAAAAGAGGCUUCGCUGACGAGUGGGGCCAUCAAUGCAGGGUUAUUAUGCUUUGCUGAGUACACGUUAGGGACCCCAUUUUUUUCUUCUACUAGUACAGGUAGAGCUUGAGAUUGGGAGAGCCCAUCCAUGCCUGGACCUUGAGUGUACUGGGCCUGAGCUAGGACUGUUUUUGGCAACGUGAUACAUAACGUCACCAGGGCAAGUGUGACAUCAGCUAAAGAUCAACCUUCCUGUCAUGUUUUUUUUUUUUUUUUAAUUUUUUAAUGUUCAUUCAUU